Molecule: ribosomal RNA, 384 nt
Filed under: uncultured bacterium
Lineage: Bacteria
Description: bacterial SSU rRNA
Rfam family: Bacterial small subunit ribosomal RNA
Source: RNAcentral
AUUGAACGCUGGCGGCAUGCCUUACACAUGCAAGUCGAGCGGCAGCGCGGGGGCAACCCUGGCGGCGAGCGGCGGACGGGUGAGUAAUACAUCGGAACGUGUCCUUUCGUGGGGGAUAACCAGUCGAAAGACUGGCUAAUACCGCAUGAGAUCUCACGAUGAAAGCGAGGGACCGCAAGGCCUCGCGCGAUUGGAGCGGCCGAUGUCGGAUUAGCUAGUGGCGGGGUAAAGCCCACCAAGGCUACGAUCCGUAGCUGGUUUGAGAGAACGACCAGCCACACUGGGACUGAGACACGGCCCAGACUCCUACGGGAGGCAGCAGUGGGGAAUUUUGGACAAUGGGGCAACCCUGAUCCAGCCAUGCCGCGUGUGUGAAGAAGGCCU